GAAGGGCCUGCGGGGCGGGCGGCGGCGGCGGCGGCCUCCGCGCCGCGCGGAGCUUCACCCACUUCAAGGCCCUCGUCGUGCGCGCUUUUAAGCUCGGCGGGCCCGGGCAGGAUGUUUAUACUGCGCAAUGUAAACACGGGCUCGGGGGUGCUUUAAUAAAAAGAAAUCGGCGAAAACUCCUGCUGCCUCUCGAAAUGCCCUUUUCUGCCUCCGCUGCCUCCGCGGGCUCUGGCCCCCUCGCCUGCUCUUAGGCUUCUCCGGGGCUGGGUUUUUUUUUGGGGGGGGGGUAUAUAAAUCUGUGCUGAACGGUUGCAGUUGAAUGGCAGGAGCGCGAUGCUCGGCUCCGUCGGUGCCACGGGCACACGCACACCCGAGGGGUGGGGGGAAGGAGAAGAGGGAGGCACAGUCAUCUGACCCCCUUUCCUCCCCCCUUCCCCCCCCCCCAAAAAAAUCCCUUUUGAGCAUCUUGCCAUCAGGAGAGCUGUCACUCACUCGUCAAGCAGCACCGCGCUGCCCGGCGGAGGGGUUGGCGGGGCGAGGAAGCCGGCAGAGCCUGGAAGAAAACGGCCCCAACCCAGCCCGUGCUGCGGGGACAGCCAUUUAUUUCAUCCAAUAAGACUAUCCAUCACGGUACGCUGGAACCGACCUACGAGCCGAGGAUAUUCUUAGAUACGCAGCAUGUCAGGAAACGGCUAGCAGCCCCGCAUGAUGCAAAUAUUUGGAUGACCGAGAGAUAGGUUUAAGACUGUUUGUCCUCCUUGUGCUGAAGCAAUGAAAGAAACUAUCAGUGGCUGUGGACCAGAUUAUUAAUAUUACCUCUUUUGGCUUGUUUAAAAAAUAAGGAGAGAACUUCGUGUUCUUCUCAGGAGCAGAGAUUGCGUAACAAAAUAUAUGGGAAAAAAAAGUUUCUGGCCAGCAGCACAGGCUCUCACAGCCCCCCGUUCACCGGGAGACAUCAUGCACAGAGGCUUUAACUGUGCAAGAGCUGUGCGUGCAGGCAGAAGAAAGACAUGCCCUACCACGCUGCAGGACUGAGCAGGACAGGCUGGAGACAGGACAACCCUCACUUCAUCAGUGAGUGCUUAGAAAGUGAACUUCAAAAGCAAACUUAGAAAUUCGGCUUAGAAACACAAAUUUUCACUUUGAGUGAGUGGCCAGGGCAGCCCUCCCUGGCCCCAGGUGACAGAGAUGGGCCAUAGUGCAAAUCAGCUGGCGUGCAGAAGGGGAAGGGAACCAGCCCACACCUCAUCUUUACUCAGGUUUUCCCCUGUUUUGUCUGUAGGGCAUGCUGAGGACUGGAGCACAAGCUCAGCUUGCUUUAGACAACACCCCAGUACAGCUGUACUGGAGGAACUGAAGGUUUCCCAGUUCUUCGGGCCCUGUAGCUCCCACCUGCCCAAGAUUUCCUCACCCCACUGAGCCCAGUGAGAAGCAGUAGGUCCUAGCAAGUUGCUUUAUGGUUCAGAUGUCAUGGACCAUCACGUGCAAGAUCAACCUGGCUAAAUUUUAGUAAGUCUAGUGCAUCUGCAAUGCCCCAGGGCACCCUGCCUGUGCACCUGUAUGGAAGUGCUCACCUCUCGUGCACCCUCCUACCUCGCAGGAUGGAGACCUGGCUGCCCACCUCCACCAUCAGCCUGUCCCCCCAUUGGUGUGGGGCUCUGCCCCCUAACCCUGCCCCUCAUGCACAGUGAUACAAGGAACCAGCAGCACCAAGGAUGGAUCUGCUCCUGGGACGAUGCCACCCAACCCCGCCGGCCUCUCUGGAGGAACGAGGAGACACUACCUGCCACCUCACCAACCUGCUCCGUCCCGGGAACGGUCGCAGAAUGUGUUUCCCACUGGGCUAAUUAUUGCUAAUUGUGCCACUUUGCUAUCUCACCAGCCUCACCCUGCAUAGGGCUGAUAGGGAUAUCAGUGAGAUAAGGAGCAUGCAGAUAGCCCAGGUAACUGGUCAAUGCUGUCGAACUGGUGGGGUGAACUGCUCUCUGGAGGGGUUUUAUCUCUUGCCGCUGACUGUCAAGAGCUCCUGAGGCACCAACCUCCUAAGGACGAUACUGCUGUACCAAGGCUAGGCAGAGUGGAGCUGGUCAUGCUCCUUGGAGCCCUUUAGAAGAGUAUUAGCGAUUUUGGUGACUUGGUAUUUGCAAGCAAUAAAGAAAUAAGCUGGCAUUCAUUUCAGAGUAAUUCUUUGAAAUUUGCUUAACAUGCAGUUUAUUCUUUUGAGUUGUUUUUUGUUGUUGCUAAUUUAGCACUAUGGAAAUGAAGGUUUCACCCUUUCUCCCUUCUUCCCCCCCACAGAGAAAUAAAUUCUGUUUUUUCAUCAAA
Molecule: long non-coding RNA, 2325 nt
Organism: Dromaius novaehollandiae (emu)
Lineage: Eukaryota; Metazoa; Chordata; Aves; Casuariiformes; Dromaiidae
Exons: 5
Source: RefSeq, a predicted model, not a curated record